RNAcentral lists this ribosomal RNA (254 nucleotides) under uncultured bacterium. RNAcentral's name for it is "partial 16S ribosomal RNA". It matches the Rfam family "Bacterial small subunit ribosomal RNA", at positions 524 to 776 of the family's 1533-position model. The record is from RNAcentral.
UACGAAGGGGGCUAGCGUUGCUCGGAAUCACUGGGCGUAAAGCGCACGUAGGCGGAUUUCUAAGUCAGGGGUGAAAUCCUGGAGCUCAACUCCAGAACUGCCUUUGAUACUGGGAAUCUCGAGUCCGGGAGAGGUGGAGUGGAACUGCGAGUGUAGAGGUGAAAUUCGUAGAUAUUCGCAAGAACACCAGUGGCGAAGGCGGCUCACUGGCCCGGUACUGACGCUGAGGUGCGAAAGCGUGGGGAGCAAACAGG